RNAcentral lists this ribosomal RNA (468 nucleotides) under uncultured bacterium. Its description in RNAcentral is "partial 16S ribosomal RNA". It matches the Rfam family "Bacterial small subunit ribosomal RNA", at positions 28 to 507 of the family's 1533-position model. The record is from RNAcentral.
GAUGAACGCUGGCGGCGUGCCUAACACAUGCAAGUCGAGCGGACAGACCCUGCUCUUGCGGCGUGCUCGUUUGGCGCACGCGUGAGUAUCACGUGAGUAUCCCGCCCUUGUCUUUCGGAUAACUUCAGGAAACUCGGGCUCAUAUCGGAUAUGAGAUCCUGCUGCAUGUUGGUCGUUGGUGAGUUUCGGCGGUUGGGGAUGGACUCGCGGGUUAUCAGUUUGUUGGUGGGGUAGUGGCUUACCAAGCGUUUGACGGAUAGCCCGCCUGAGAGGGUGACCGGCCACAAUAGGACUAAGAGACGGCCCAGAAUCCUACGGGAGGCAGCGGGGGAGAAUAUUGCGCAAUGGGCGGGAGCGAGAUGAAGCAACGCCGCGUGCGUGAUGACGGCCUUCUGGUGGAAAACCACUUUCGCCGGUAACGAAGCGGGAUUGACGGUAAUGGGUAAAGAAGCACCGGCUAACUACGUG